RNAcentral lists this unclassified non-coding RNA (431 nucleotides) under Portunus trituberculatus (swimming crab). RNAcentral describes it as "uncharacterized LOC123499032, transcript variant X2". Lineage: Eukaryota; Metazoa; Arthropoda; Malacostraca; Decapoda; Portunidae. The record is from RNAcentral.
AGAGAGAGAGAGAGAGAGAGAGAGGUAUAUAAAGGACCGUGACUGGCAAGCACACAGAAGAACAGAAACACCGACAAACACCACAAUGAGCGCCCUGCCACCGCCUCCAACGUCACCAAAACGCUUCGACUCUGUUUUGGGGCGCCCUUCCGUUGGCAUAGUGGGCGUCACUGUCCUGCCCUUCUCUGAGCUGGACGCAGAGCCGCUGGGAGUGCUGCAGUUUGUCCUCGGCCUUAUAGUUUACCUCGACGUCCUCUUGGGGUUACAAGUUUACACGCCGAGGGCGUCUGACGGCAUGGCACCACUAACAGAGGAGGAGGAGGAGGCGUGGUGGCAACAAUGGGAGGAGGAGAUGGAGAGAGAAGAGGAGGAGGAGAGGAAACGAAAACUGGAAGAGGAGGAAGACCAAAAACAAAAAGAGGAACAAGAAG